Small nucleolar RNA from Larimichthys crocea (large yellow croaker), 81 nucleotides. Its record names the gene SNORD79. It matches the Rfam family "Small nucleolar RNA SNORD79". Rfam says of the family: snoRNA U79 or Z22 is found in intron 7 of the gas5 gene in humans and is also present in mice. U79 is a member of the C/D class of snoRNA which contain C (UGAUGA) and D (CUGA) box motifs. Lineage: Eukaryota; Metazoa; Chordata; Actinopteri; Sciaenidae. The record is from Ensembl.
AACUGUCAAUGAUGAUCUUGUUUAAAAAACAAUGGGAAUCUCUCUGAAAAGAGUGAAAGAUAACUUUCUACUGAUGCAGUG